This 60-nucleotide ribosomal RNA is filed under the name Coniosporium sp. SL10113. RNAcentral's name for it is "5.8S ribosomal RNA". Lineage: Eukaryota; Fungi; Ascomycota; Dothideomycetes. The record is from RNAcentral.
UCAAGCUCUGCUUGGUAUUGGGCGUCGCCGGGGAGUCUCCCCGGCGUGCCUCAAAGCCAU